This is a long non-coding RNA of Epinephelus fuscoguttatus (brown-marbled grouper), 1689 nucleotides long. RefSeq lists it as uncharacterized. The transcript has 3 exons. NCBI's taxonomy places the organism in Eukaryota, Metazoa, Chordata, Actinopteri, Perciformes, Serranidae. The record is from RefSeq and is a predicted model, not a curated record.
CAUAGAUAAGAACAGAGUGGCGACACUCCCAUAAGACUCCGUUGUAAAACAUGGCGGACAGAACUUCCGGGUUAUGGAGCCCUCUAUAGUUCCAAACAUUCCUCCCGUGGAGUCGGACCCCGUUUAUUUCAAUGGCAGCAUGACGAGAAACUCCUGAGCUAAGGUGAUCCUGAUAGAGCCCUGUGAAGUUUCUGCUGUCAAAAGACUCCACAAGUGAGUUGCUUCCUUAGGUCCUCCACACUCACCCUGUCAUGACUGGCCCCUAGCACACUGGUCCCUGGAUCACCUUCCCCUGUCAAAGAGGCUUCUUCAGUGGCAGCCCCCGACUGACUGGCCCCUGGAAGUCCGCUGACCUCUCCUUCAUCCUCUAUCUGCAUACUGCCUCCUGGUACUUCCCUAUCAUUUUCAGAUUCUGCCUCAAUUUCUCCCUCAUUCUCUGUAAUAAUAACAAGGUGUUGUUGCAGUUAAUAUGCAUUUAUGCUGCCUUUACAUUAGCACCUACUUUCAUCUCCUGUUUAAGGGUACACUACACUCCAAUUAAACAAAACUGUAUCUUUAUGUGAAACAAAUCAUCUGCCACACUCCUGGACUAACAACAUGUACAUAAAGUUUUUUUUUUUUUUAGCAAUAGAUGAAGAUGCCUGUAGAUUAUCCAUGACAUUGCCCAGUUCAUUCUGCAAUGGAUUAUUUCACAAGCCAUCAGUUUUUUUUUAAAAUAUGGACAGGAAAUAGGAUCCAGCCAUGAAUCGGUGCAUACAUAGGUUAACAUAUUCAGAGUUUAUUCAACCAAUUGAGAUCAGCUGUUCUAGAACUGAAUACUAGUUUCCCAUAUUCAGAGUUCAUUGUUAGACUGAAAGUUUGUUGAACCUCUGGAAUAGCUCUCAGGGCUGUUAUAAUGGUGACUGUUGUUAUUCCUCAACCAGGCAUCUCAGACCAUCAUUGGGUCCUUCACUAAAGAUGUGAAUGGCAGAUAAGAAUAAUAACAAUAAGAAUAACUAUAUUUAAUUGUCUGUCAGCUCAUUUAUUAUUUGCAAAAGAAUUAAAAAGCGUGAUGGCUGUAGGUAUGUAGGAUCUUCUGUAUGUUUCUGUCCUGCAUCGAAGAGAGAGGAGCCGUCCACCACUGUUUUUUUGUUUUAUCAAGGUGUUAUGGAGUGGAUGAACCGGGUUAUUCAUGAUGGCCUUGAACAUCUUCAGUGUGCAUCUCUCCACCAGCUCCUCCAGUGUGUCCAACCACAACUUGAAGAGUUGUGUACAUAGUUGUACCUGCAGUAAAUCUCAUUUGGCUUUUUUAACCGUUUCAUAGCCCCACCUUUGUUCUGCUGUCCUAAUGCUGAAAUAUGAUCUCUGUUAAAUAAAACUGUUCUUCCUUAAUGCCAGAUUUAUCAUUUUCUGUGAUGUAAGAGCCUUCAUACAUUUUCUUAUAUUUUUUUCUUGUUCUCACAGACACACAAUUGCUCUUAUUGUCACAUUCAUCGUUCAUAAAAUGUUUAACUGAAAACUAUCAUUUAUCAUCAUUGUCCAAUGUCAGGGAGUAUUCACAAAUAACCCACAUUAAUCUCAUGUAGCUACAUAAGAGAUGCAUUGCACUAGAUUACAGUUUAGUUGCUAAUUUAUAAUUUUCUUCCCAUAGAAGAACAUGACAGCAGAGGCUGUGUUUGGAACUAUUGAGCAUAGACAUAUAUACAUAGA